This 1542-nucleotide long non-coding RNA is filed under the name Piliocolobus tephrosceles (Ugandan red Colobus). RNAcentral describes it as "lncRNA (ENSPTEG00000006095.1)". The record is from RNAcentral. Lineage: Eukaryota; Metazoa; Chordata; Mammalia; Primates; Cercopithecidae.
GUUACACUGUACUUUUUUUUAAUUAUACUAAAAAUGAUGAUAUAAACUCUACAUCUAAUAUUGACGCAAAAUAUUUAACAUGUCAAUAUGAGAAUGAUAUGAACAACUGUUCUGUAACAGAUAAAGAAGAAUUUUCAAAUAUUAUUAUAUAUAAAAACAAAAAAAAUGAAUUUUUUGACAGCAUACAUAUGCUAUCAAAUAUAUACACUACAUAUAUUAAUAUCUAUAACCCAAAUUUCGAAUCAGGUUACUUUGCAUACUUUAUAUAUUAUUAUUACGACAAUGACCUUGAAGAAUAUAUACUCACUGUAAAAAUCGUUAUAUGUACAAGUAGAACCAAAAAUAUAAAAUGUGAAAUGUUAAACCCUCUUCCACUCUAUAAAGGGAUAUAUCCAAAUGUGUGUGAUUAUCUUAAAAAAAUGCACAUCCCCAUACAAAAUGUUAAAUCUUCAUCUGACUGUACUUUUAAUAUAUAUUCUCGGGGUACACGAAUUUUACAUGAUGAUAAAUAUAAUUUGUAUAGGUUAGGACAUUUUCAAUAUUUUUAUACCUAUUUCAACAAAUUAUCGAUAUCACCUAUUUUAAACAAUUUCUGUACAGCAAUAAAAAUAAAUGCGAAUGAAUGUUUAGAUAUGUUUUUCCAUAUAAACCAGGAUGUAAAAAAAAAACAUGAAGAAGCUAAAGAUUUUCUAAAAACAUGUAUGGGAUCUUAUUAUAAGGAAGCAGGACAACCAUCUAAAACUGAUUUUGGAAUCAUAAAACAAAAAAGAGAAAUUAGCGCAAAAAAUAAAGCGACAAAUCGUGGAGAUUUACUAAUACAACUUGAAAAAAGUGUAGAUGAUCGUGAUCAAACACUUUGUACCAAAACUUACGAAAUAUUAGCAUCCUUUGAUUCAGAUAAUUCUAUUAAAUUAGAAUCCAAUUCUAAACAAAGUAUCGACAAUUCAGAUGUUAUUCCUACAAGUCCCACCAUAUUAAUACCGAGUCAUCAAAGAAAUGACAUUAAAUCAGAACCCAUCAAUCAAGGAAUUGCUAUUAAAUCAGCAUCCAGCUUUAAAGAAAAAGACUCUAAAUCAGGACCCAACUCUCAGAGAAAUACCAUUAUAUUAGCACCUAGCCCUCAAGAAAAUGACACUGAAUUAGAAUCCAGUGCUACAAUUUCUAAUUUAAUUUAUGCUGUAUUUUUAUUAAUACUUACAAUUUAUAUGUUUUAAUAAUUAUAUUUAAGUUAUAAUUUUUAAAAUACCAUAAUAGUUUGUCUCAUUUGUGCAUACAUAUAAUAUUAUGUAUAUACAUUUUUAUUCCGCUUAAAAAAAAAUGAUAAUACAAAGUUUAUUAAAUUCAUUACAAAAUUUAAUAUCACUAUUUAUUAUUUUUUUCUUUUUUAUCUAUUAUAUUUGUUUUUUUUUGAGGCGGGGCUUGUUGUAUUGCAUUAAACUAAAGUGGUAAUGAAAAUGAAUGAUUGUUUAAAGAUAGCUAACCAAAUCGUCAAAAAAUAAUUUUUUCGAUUGGUGCUUCUUACAAAAACGCUGUUAAUGUAUA